RNAcentral lists this transfer RNA (74 nucleotides) under Clostridium sp. RNAcentral describes it as "tRNA-Gly". It matches the Rfam family "tRNA". From Rfam's summary of the family: Transfer RNA (tRNA) molecules are approximately 80 nucleotides in length. Their secondary structure includes four short double-helical elements and three loops (D, anti-codon, and T loops). The record is from RNAcentral. RNAcentral also lists the same sequence under 3 other names. Lineage: Bacteria; Bacillati; Bacillota; Clostridia; Eubacteriales; Clostridiaceae.
GCGGGUGUAGCUCAAUGGUAGAGCGCUGGCCUUCCAAGCCCGUUACGUGGGUUCGAUUCCCAUCACCCGCUCCA